Molecule: long non-coding RNA, 2193 nt
Filed under: Cyanistes caeruleus (blue tit)
Lineage: Eukaryota; Metazoa; Chordata; Aves; Passeriformes; Paridae
Description: lncRNA (ENSCCEG00000004968.1)
Source: RNAcentral
CCAUGGUCACCUUGGUCACCUUGGUGGUCAUCGUGGUCACCAUGGUCAUUGUGGUCACCUUGGUCAGCCUGGUGGUCAUGGUGAUCAUUGUGGUCAUGGUGGUCACCUUGGUGCUCAGCGUGGUCACCUUGGUCAGCCUGGUGGUCAUGGUGGUCAUUGUGGUCAUGGUGGUCACCAUGGUGGUCAUUGUGGUCAGCUUCUUGGUCACCCUGCUGGUCUUUGUGGUCACUGUGGUCACCCUGGGGGUCAGUCUGGUGGUCACUCCAGUCACUCUGGUCCUUCUGGUGGUCACUCAGGUCACCCCAGUGGUCACUCAGGUUCUUCUGGUGGUCACUCAGCUUCUUUUGAUGGUCACUCAGGUCACUCUGGUGGUCAUUCUGGUCACUCAGGUUCUUCUGGUGGUCCCUCAGGUCACUCAGGUGGUCACCCUGGUCACUCUGGUCACUCAGGUGGUCAGCCUGGUCACUCUGGUGGUCACUCAGGUCACUCCAGUGGUCACCCUGGUCACUCCGGUGGUCACCCUGGUCCUUUUGGUGGUCACUCAGGUUCUUCAGGUGGUCACUCUGGUGGUCACUGGGGUUCUUCAGGUGGUCACUGGGGUUCUUCAGGUGGUCACUCCGGUGGUCACUCAGGUUCUUCAGGUGGUCACUCUGGUGGUCACUCAGGUUCUUCAGGUGGUCACUCUGGUGGUCACUGAGGUUCUUCAGGUGGUCACUGGGGUGGUCACUCUGGUGGUCACUCUGGUGGUCACUGAGGUUCUUCAGGUGGUCACUGGGGUGGUCACUCUGGUGGUCACUGGGGUGUCCGGAGCUGUCCUGGUGGCCCAGGGCCACCGAGCAGUUGGGGAAGUGCCGGGGCCCCGAGAAGUCGCCCUCGAAGCACCUGGGGGGCAAAUUGGGGUCAAUUUGGGGCUUUUUGGGGCAUUUUGGGGCGUUUUGGGUUAUUUUGGGCCAUUUUGGGGCGUUUUGGGUCAUUUUGGGCCAUUUUGGGGCUAUUUUGGGUCAUUUUGGGGCGUUUUCGGUCAUUUUGGGGCGUUUUGGGCCAUUUUGGGGCGUUUUGGGGCCAUUUUGGGGCUUUUUAGGUCAUUUUGGGCCAUUUUGGGGCAUUUUGGGGCAUUUUGGGCCAUUUUGGGGCGUUUUGGGGCCAUUUUGGGGCUUUUUAGGUCGUUUUGGGCCAUUUUGGGGCCAUUUUAGGGCAUUUUGGGCCAUUUUGGGGCUAUUUUGGGCCAUUUUGGGUCAUUUUGGGCCAUUUUGGGUCAUUUUGGGGCUAUUUUGGGUAAUUUUGGGUCAUUUUGGGUCAUUUUGGGCCAUUUUGGGCCAUUUUGGGGCCAUUUUGGGUCAUUUUGGGGCUUUUAAGGUCAUUUUAGGCCAUUUUGGGGCCAUUUUGGGCAGUUUUUGGGCUUUUGGGGCCAUUUUUGGGCAUUUUGGGGCGUUUCGGGGCAUUUUGGGGCAUUUUGGGGCAUUUUGGGGCUUUUUGGGGGCAUUUUGGGGCGUUUUGGGGCAUUUUGGGGUAUUUUUGGGGCGUUUUGGGGCAUUUUGGGGCUUUUUGGGGUUUUGCUGAGGGGCGGCUUGGGAACCUCAAAAUCAUCCCAAAAAACUCCAAAAUUGGCCAAAAACCACCAAAAUUGGCCCCAAAAAAAACCCCCAAAUUGGCCCAAAACAACCUCAAAAUUGACCCCAAAAAAAACCCAAAAUCGACCCAAAAAACCCCAAAACUGCCCCAAAAAAAACCCCCAAAACUGGCCCAAAACCCCCCAAAACUGGACCCAAAAAAACCUCCAAAAGUGGCCCAAAAAAACCCAAAAUUGGCCAAAAAAACCCCCCAAAAUCGACCCAAAAAACCCCAAAACUGCCCCAAAAAAACCCCAAAACUGGAUCCCAAAAAACCUCCAAAAGUGUCCCAAAAAACCCCAAAACUGCCCAAAAAAAAACCCCCAAAAGUGGCCCAAAAAAACCCCAAAACUGCCCAAAAAAAACCCCCAAAAAUGGCCCAAAAACCCCCAAAUCUGGACCCAAAAAAACCUCCAAAAAUGGCCCAAAAAACCCCAAAACUGCCCCAAAAAAAACCCCAAAAUUGGCCAAAAAAAACCCCCAAAAUCGACCCAAAAAAACCCCAAAAUUGACCAGAAAAAAAUCCCCAAAAGUGGCCCAAAAAAACCCCAAAACUGCCCCAAAAAAACCUCCAAAAAUGGCC